AAAGUUGUAGUUCAGUGGUAGAACAUAUGCUUAUCAUGUGUGGGGUCCUGGGUUCCAUCCCCAGCAUCAGUG
RNAcentral lists this transfer RNA (72 nucleotides) under Fukomys damarensis (Damara mole-rat). It matches the Rfam family "tRNA". Rfam says of the family: Transfer RNA (tRNA) molecules are approximately 80 nucleotides in length. Lineage: Eukaryota; Metazoa; Chordata; Mammalia; Rodentia; Bathyergidae. The record is from Rfam by way of RNAcentral.